GCGGGUGGCAGAGUGGUUGAAUGCACCGGUCUUGAAAACCGGCAUAGGUGUAAGCCUAUCGGGGGUUCGAAUCCCUCCCCGC
RNAcentral lists this transfer RNA (82 nucleotides) under uncultured Litorimonas sp. It matches the Rfam family "tRNA". Rfam says of the family: Transfer RNA (tRNA) molecules are approximately 80 nucleotides in length. Their secondary structure includes four short double-helical elements and three loops (D, anti-codon, and T loops). The record is from RNAcentral. Lineage: Bacteria; Pseudomonadati; Pseudomonadota; Alphaproteobacteria; Maricaulales; Robiginitomaculaceae.